CAGCCGCCGCGGGAAUACGUAGGUGGCAAGCGUUGUCCGGAAUUAUUGGGCGUAAAGGGCUCGCAGGCGGUUUCUUAAGUCUGACGUGAAAGCCCCCGGCUCAACCGGGGAGGGUCAUUGGAAACUGGGAAACUUGAGUGCAGAAGAGGAGAGUGGAAUUCCACGUGUAGCGGUGAAAUGCGUAGAGAUAUGGAGGAACACCAGUGGCGAAGGCGACUCUCUGGUCUGUAACUGACGCUGAGGAGCGAAAGCGUGGGGAGCGAACAGGAUUAGAUACCCCCGUAGUCCCUGUCUCUUAUAC
Molecule: ribosomal RNA, 301 nt
Filed under: uncultured bacterium
Lineage: Bacteria
Description: partial 16S ribosomal RNA
Rfam family: Bacterial small subunit ribosomal RNA
Source: RNAcentral